UGGCUCAGUGGUUAAGAGCACUGACUGCUCUUCCAGAGGUCCUGAGUUCAAAUCUCAG
Non-coding RNA from Rattus norvegicus (Norway rat), 58 nucleotides. The record is from Rfam. Lineage: Eukaryota; Metazoa; Chordata; Mammalia; Rodentia; Muridae.